Long non-coding RNA from Salvia splendens (bonfire salvia), 465 nucleotides. RefSeq lists it as uncharacterized. NCBI's taxonomy places the organism in Eukaryota, Viridiplantae, Streptophyta, Magnoliopsida, Lamiales, Lamiaceae. The transcript is spliced from 4 exons. The record is from RefSeq and is a predicted model, not a curated record.
CACGGUUUUACCUUCAGUAAUCUUCAGCGCCAUGGCUCGCAUCAGAUCAUGCAUUCUGAUGCUAUCUCCAUCCCUGUGAUCGCGAGUGCUUUCUAGCAAGCACGUAUUCACUAACUUAUCCAGCAUGGAGUGACCCUCGUCUCUUCAGGAUAUAAAGCGCAAUACAGGAAGCAAAGCUGUAAGUUCGUGUAUCCAUGCCUCGUCCCUUGUUGAUGAUUCGGCAUGACUGGCCGUCUCGCCCCUCAUGCUUCCUGCUAGGGUGAUGAUCCCAAGAGGCAAGCCAUCGCACAUCUUGACCAUACACUUGGCAAUUUCCUCGACAUCAGAAGAGCCUCGAAACGAGACAAGCAUCAUCCGUGUUGAUCUUCUGUGAAAACCUUGAAUAUGAAGUCACGGAAGCGCUUGGAGUAGUGCCUAGGAUCAAUAGCCGAUAUUGACGUUGGAUCAUGCUGGAAGGACUUGUAC